Molecule: long non-coding RNA, 226 nt
Filed under: Elaeis guineensis (African oil palm)
Lineage: Eukaryota; Viridiplantae; Streptophyta; Magnoliopsida; Arecales; Arecaceae
Description: long non-coding RNA (EGUI_LNC056958)
Source: RNAcentral
CUCCCCCUCUGUUUCAUGCACAGGCCCUUUUAAAGGGUUAAAAAACUUGAUUAGAGAAGGAUUAGGAGUCCUAAACAAAGCCAGAUAACCCCUGGACCGUCGGAUUAAGACCGGGAGCCACCCACAUCCUCAGAUCGUGCUCUGGUCCAUGAAAUAGUGCUGUGAACCACGAGAAACGUGUGGGAAAUACCCACGCGGUCCACAGGCCUAGCCGUAGACCGCCCGA